GUUGUUGUCAGUGGCUACAUCAUUUCGACCAGUGAUAUGGUUAAUCUUUGCGAUGUGGACCAAUGGCAUGAUCUGUACCUAAGGUUGGAGUUGCUGAAUUAGGUAAGAAAAAAAUGAGAACCAUUUUCUUCUUUUUCACUUCUUUAGGGAUAUGAGGAGAGAGUCUUACAGCUCUAUUGUUAAUCAGCUACUUCCUUUUUUGGAUGAUUAAUUAUUUGCAUGAAGGUUCAGAGAAUGGCCUCUAUUGCCUUACAGUCCAACUGGUAAACAUAACAGUGCCUUACAUGAGCAAUGAUGUUGAUCUUACAUACUUAUACGUAUAUGUUUCUGUAUUGCAGAACACGUGAGAAAUUACUGAUGCGCAUGGAUGACAGCUUUCCCACGACGAAGCAAAAUUGCAGGUGAUUUUCUCUACUUUCUAAUAUUAUCCAUAUAUCACAGGGGAAUGAUGGGUAGUUUUAAAAGGGAUUAGUGCUUCGUCGCACCUUUUCUAGCUUCUUUUGGCCUCCAAAUGAUAUACAAGGCAGUCAAGUUCCAUCCUCUAAUUUCUUGUGAUUUUUAUAGGACCUAUUAGGAUGCAUACCUGAAGGAGUGCAUCUAC
This 601-nucleotide long non-coding RNA is filed under the name Triticum aestivum (bread wheat). RNAcentral's name for it is "long non-coding RNA (TAES_LNC011359)". Lineage: Eukaryota; Viridiplantae; Streptophyta; Magnoliopsida; Poales; Poaceae. The record is from RNAcentral.